GAGCGCGUUGCGCAUUUCCUUGCCCGGUUUGAAAUAGGGGUUCGCCGGUGCGCGGGUUGCGCCCUUGCCGCGCUUC
Molecule: transfer RNA, 76 nt
Filed under: Erythrobacter litoralis HTCC2594
Lineage: Bacteria; Pseudomonadati; Pseudomonadota; Alphaproteobacteria; Sphingomonadales; Erythrobacteraceae
Description: tRNA-Pro
Source: RNAcentral